RNAcentral lists this long non-coding RNA (612 nucleotides) under Setaria viridis. RNAcentral describes it as "long non-coding RNA (SVIR_LNC003465)". The record is from RNAcentral. Lineage: Eukaryota; Viridiplantae; Streptophyta; Magnoliopsida; Poales; Poaceae.
GGGUGUUCUUAGUACAGGUUGCCAUUAGGAUUAAAAAAAUGACAACUAGAGACUGACCUUGAUUGGAUGGUGUUUAUCGCAUCCAAUUGACGUGCUAGCCCAAGAUUUGUUUACAUGUUUUACCAUUUUGAUAUGGCUUACUCCCUCUCCUGUCUGUAAAUACUCUGUUUUGGAUAAAUGGCAGCGUCUCUCAAAAAUAUGAUUUUAACCACUAUUUUUAUUAGUUUAUAAAAUGAAACACAUAUAUAUGACAUAAUGAAAGUUCCCUUCAAGGCAACUCUGGCAUAUGGCUUGUAUUUUUUUACAAGUAAAUAUUAUAAAAUUUAUAUACAGUGAAAGCUAUAAUAUUGAAAAUUGGAGGGAGUACAUAAUAUUGAAAGCAGAAAUCAAAUGAAUUACCAUGAGAAACACUUGGUGUACACAAAGUCUAUUUUUUAAAGUGGAAUUUAACAAGUGACAGGGGAAUGUAAGGUAGUAGAGAACAAAAAACAACAAAGACAGGGAAUCUUGCAAAGUUCCGUGAGUUGCAUUCCAAAUUUCUUGUGCAGCAGUUUGAUGUUUAUCUACAUGGUCUCUCUGAAUUGGAAGUAGUUGGUGCUUCUAUGGUUGAAA